This 497-nucleotide ribosomal RNA is filed under the name uncultured bacterium. RNAcentral describes it as "partial 16S ribosomal RNA". It matches the Rfam family "Bacterial small subunit ribosomal RNA", at positions 28 to 507 of the family's 1533-position model. The record is from RNAcentral.
GAUGAACGCUGGCGGCGUGCCUAAUACAUGCAAGUCGAACGCUGAAGCUUGGUGCUUGCACCGAGCGGAUGAGUUGCGAACGGGUGAGUAACGCGUGGGUAACCUGCCUCUUAGCGGGGGAUAACUAUUGGAAACGAUAGCUAAUACCGCAUAAAAGUCGAUAUCGCAUGAUAUUGAUUUGAAAGGUGCAAGUGCAUCACUAAGAGAUGGACCUGCGUUGUAUUAGCUAGUUGGUGAGGUAACGGCUCACCAAGGCGACGCUACAUAGCCGCCCUGAGAGGGUGAGCGGCCACACUGGGAGUGAGACACGGCCCAGAGGGCCACGGGAGGGAGCCGGAGGGAAUCGUGGGCAAGGGGGGCAACACUGACCGAGAAAGGCCGAGGGAGGGAAGAAGGUUGUCGGAUCGGAAAUCUCGGUUGUAAGGGAAGAACGAGUGUGAGAGUGGAAAGUACACACUGUGACGGUAACGGACCAGAAAGGGACGGCUAACUACGUG